GUAGUGGUUCUGCUGCCACCUAGUGAUGGCAUGGUGUAGUGGUUCUGCUGCCACCUAGUGGUGGCAUGGUGUAGUGGUUCUGCUGCCACCUAGUGAUGGCAUGGUGUAGUGGUUCUGCUGCCACCUAGUGGUGGCAUGGUGUGGCGAAGUGGUUCUGCUGCUACCUAGUGGUGGCAUGGUGUAGUGGUUCUGCUGCCACCUUGUGGUGGCGUGGCUCAAUGUUUUGAGUUCUGUCAUGAGAAUGGAGCAAGCACGUGAAAGUACAGCGUUUUCAUUUAAUUUGUUCCUAUAUGGGCCAAUGUGGCCUAGUUUAUCUGGUCAAAUUGAUUUCUUAUUUCUUUGUAAUGAAUCACUAUUGCUGUUUGCUAGAAAUGAUUUACUCUGAUUUAUGGGGGAAAUUAUGUUGCACUAACUCACUAAUGUACCAACUCUGUUCCAAUUCCACUUCUACUCAGACUAAUCGUUUGUUGAAGCAGUUUUUAGCAAGGACAAUUAUGUUAUUAACUGUUUUAUACAAAAUUGUAUGCACCCUGAUUUGUAAGGAUCUUUGGGAAUUCUUUAAACUCUAAGCAUGUCCUUAAAAAUGUGAAAAGUUUGCCAGUCUGUCAUUGGAAUACUGUGGCUCUACGUAGUUUGACAGUGAAUGAUGUCUUUUUUGGAAAACAGAAACUGGUUGUGAGAAGGAGCAUUACGUUUGAAUAUUCUUUCUUUAUUUAACAUGAUCAUCUUUCAAUCGAACAACCCUUUACUUUUAUAAUGCUUGUAAAUCUUUUUUUCACCCUGAAGCUGACUGAAUUGAAAGUAUUCGUGAGAAUAUGUUGAAAUAAUCUGGAACAAUCACAGAUAUGUACUUGAAUAAGCUAUAUGAAGGUAUUUUUAUUUAUUCUAAUUGCGUUAACAUUUUGUAUAAUUUGUAUAUUUCAAAUACGAUUUAGGUAUUUUCUCUCAAUUUCUAGUUGCCACAUCUGUUCCUAACGCCUUUCUCUGAUGUGGAACUAUUUCUCUUACAGCCUAAAGUAUGUAGCCUGGUCCAGCUCUGGUUGUGCUCUUGCCAACUCCAUUGCUAUAAUUGUCAAGACAAUCUGUUUGGCAUGGCAAUGAGUGGCAUGACAUGGUAGCACAAACAGAUCUGGCACGCAGGCUAGAAAGUAUGUCCUCCAUUUUGUUUUGUGGUAUUUUGACCAACAGGAAUAACUACUAUGUUUCCUGUGCAAUGAUGAUGUCUAUCUUUGUAACACAGCUGUCUCUUUUACUUGUCUCUGUCUUUUACCAUUAAAUAUAAAUGUGUGUUUCACGCAACAGAGAUGA
Molecule: long non-coding RNA, 1308 nt
Filed under: Salmo salar (Atlantic salmon)
Lineage: Eukaryota; Metazoa; Chordata; Actinopteri; Salmoniformes; Salmonidae
Description: lncRNA (ENSSSAG00000118366.1)
Source: RNAcentral